This is a long non-coding RNA of Cyprinus carpio carpio, 1077 nucleotides long. NCBI's taxonomy places the organism in Eukaryota, Metazoa, Chordata, Actinopteri, Cypriniformes, Cyprinidae. The record is from Ensembl.
AUAAAAUGAAAACUUCAUUAAAAAUAACUAGAUUUAGAAAAUGAAUAAUUUGGAUCAAAUAAAAAUUUGUUUAAAAUAAACUGAUUUAAAAAGAAAUAAUUUGAUUAAAGUGAAAAAUAAAUUUAAAAAAAAAUUAUUCCAAUAGAAUAAAAAUGUUAAUUAAAAGAAAGAGGUUUAAAAAUAAUUUGGAUAAAAAAUGUCAAAUAAAUUGGUUUAACAAUUAAUAAUUGGAAUAAAAUAAAAUGUUGAUUAAAAUUGACUUUAAAAUGUGAUUGAAAUAAAUCAGUUAAUAUUAAAUUGUAUUAUUAAAAUUAAUUUAAAAAUAAAUAAUUUGGAUAAAAUACAUAAUUAAAAAAUUAAUUGGUUCAAAAGUAAACGCUUAUUCAAAAGUAAAUGAUUCGGAUUUUAAAAAGUUGCUAAAAAAAUAUUUUCAUUAAAUAAGCAUUUUCCAAAUAAUAUUGUAUGCAUAUUUAUAAUAGUUUUUCACAAUAUCGUUUUUUAAGCUGCCCUUUAAAUGUUAGAAUGGCCCUCUUGCGCCAGGAUGAUGAUUUUUAGGGGUCCAUGGCAUCUGAAAGAUUGAAAACCCCCGAGUUUGUUAAAUCAUGUAUGAUUGAAGAUGAUGCAGAUGUGAGUCUCAGGGAUGCACAGAUGUUCCUCAUAACAUCAGCUGUCACAAACAAACAAUCUGUUAAUAUGUGUUUAUUUUGUAUGUCAUUAACAAAAAACAGUACUGUAUUACACUGUAUUAGUAUUACCAUGGUACCACCAAAGUACAUUCUGAGAGUUGAGAGUGUGUGUAUUGUGAUUACUUUUGUACGGCAUGUCGUUGUUUUACAGUAUUUUUUUACAAACAAAUGCAAAUGUUUUACGAAUGAACACAAAUUUUAAGCAAACAAACAAGAAUGUUUUAUGAAUGAAUGCAAAAGUUUUGCAAAUGAAUGCAAAUUUUUUACGAAUAAACGCAAAUGUUUUACAAAUUAACACAUUUUUUUACGAACAAACGCAAAUGUUUUGCAAACAAAUGCGAAUGUUUUAUAAACAAACGCAAAUGUUUUACGAAUAAACACAAACGUUUUG